Molecule: ribosomal RNA, 497 nt
Filed under: uncultured bacterium
Lineage: Bacteria
Description: partial 16S ribosomal RNA
Rfam family: Bacterial small subunit ribosomal RNA
Source: RNAcentral
GAUGAACGAUGGCGGCGUGCCUAAUACAUGCAAGUCGAGCGAACAGACGAGGAGCUUGCUCCUCUGACGUUAGCGGCGGACGGGUGAGUAACACGUGGAUAACCUACCUAUAAGACUGGGAUAACUUCGGGAAACCGGAGCUAAUACCGGAUAAUAUAUUGAACCGCAUGGUUCAAUAGUGAAAGACGGUUUUGCUGUCACUUAUAGAUGGAUCCGCGCCGCAUUAGCUAGUUGGUAAGGUAACGGCUUACCAAGGCAACGAUGCGUAGCCGACCUGAGAGGGUGAUCGGCCACACUGGAACUGAGACACGGUCCAGACUCCUACGGGAGGCAGCAGUAGGGAAUCUUCCGCAAUGGGCGAAAGCUUGACGGAGCAACGCCGCGUGAGUGAUGAAGGUCUUCGGAUCGUAAAACUCUGUUAUUAGGGAAGAACAAAUGUGUAAGUAACUAUGCACGUCUUGACGGUACCUAAUCAGAAAGCCACGGCUAACUACGUG